GUCCGUUCAUUCCCGCAAAACCUGCAUUGGUAGGUCCGCAAAACCGGGAACGCAUGACACCUACUCAUGGAACGGGGGGUAGGU
Molecule: non-coding RNA, 84 nt
Filed under: Synechococcus phage 27A
Also listed under: 1 other name
Description: Synechococcus phage Glutamine-II sequence
Rfam family: Glutamine-II riboswitch aptamer
About the family: The major groove of the PK provides the binding site for L-glutamine
Source: RNAcentral